AGUGAACGCUGGCGGUAGGCCUAACACAUGCAAGUCGAACGGCAGCACAGUAAGAGCUUGCUCUUACGGGUGGCGAGUGGCGGACGGGUGAGGAAUACAUCGGAAUCUACUUUUUCGUGGGGGAUAACGUAGGGAAACUUACGCUAAUACCGCAUACGACCUACGGGUGAAAGCAGGGGAUCUUCGGACCUUGCGCGAUUGAAUGAGCCGAUGUCGGAUUAGCUAGUUGGCGGGGUAAAGGCCCACCAAGGCGACGAUCCGUAGCUGGCCUGAGAGGAUGAUCAGCCACACUGGAACUGAGACACGGUCCAGACUCCUACGGGAGGCAGCAGUGGGGAAUAUUCGACAAUGGGCGCAAGCCUGAUCCAGCCAUACCGCGUGGGUGAAGAAGGCCUUCGGGUUGUAAAGCCCUUUUGUUGGGAAAGAAAAGCAGCAGGUUAAUACCCCGCUGUUCUGACGGUACCCAAAGAAUAAGCACCGGCUAACUUCGUG
Molecule: ribosomal RNA, 492 nt
Filed under: uncultured bacterium
Lineage: Bacteria
Description: partial 16S ribosomal RNA
Rfam family: Bacterial small subunit ribosomal RNA
Source: RNAcentral